GAUGAACGCUGGCGGCGUGCCUAAUACAUGCCAGUCGAGCGAACGGACGAGAAGCUUGCUUCUCUGAUGUUAGCGGCGGACGGGUGAGUAACACGUGGAUAACCUACCUAUAAGACUGGGAUAACUUCGGGAAACCGGAGCUAAUACCGGAUAAUAUUUUGAACCGCAUGGUUCAAAAGUGAAAGACGGUCUUGCUGUCACUUAUAGAUGGAUCCGCGCUGCAUUAGCUAGUUGGUAAGGUAACGGCUUACCAAGGCAACGAUGCAUAGCCGACCUGAGAGGGUGAUCGGCCACACUGGAACUGAGACACGGUCCAGACUCCUACGGGAGGCAGCAGUAGGGAAUCUUCGGCAAUGGGCGAAAGCCUGACGGAGCAACGCCGCGUGAGUGAUGAAGGUCUUCGGAUCGUAAAACUCUGUUAUUAGGGAAGAACAUAUGUGUAAGUAACUGUGCACAUCUUGACGGUACCUAAUCAGAAAGCCACGGCUAACUACGUG
This 497-nucleotide ribosomal RNA is filed under the name uncultured bacterium. RNAcentral's name for it is "partial 16S ribosomal RNA". It matches the Rfam family "Bacterial small subunit ribosomal RNA", at positions 28 to 507 of the family's 1533-position model. The record is from RNAcentral.